Molecule: long non-coding RNA, 494 nt
Filed under: Phoenix dactylifera (date palm)
Lineage: Eukaryota; Viridiplantae; Streptophyta; Magnoliopsida; Arecales; Arecaceae
Description: long non-coding RNA (PDAC_LNC010844)
Source: RNAcentral
GUGUCUCUUCCCAUGCACCUAUUUGAUGAUAACAAAAAGGGAGAGAAGUAAAGAAAGAGAAAUAAGUUGUAAAACAAAUUGAAAAUUAUAAUGGAAAAGCAUAUACAUUUAAGGGGGAGCAAUUUGUAACAAUGAAAAUGAUCAAAUCUAAAAUUUCUAUUGAAUUUCAGAAUUUGGCACAUAGAAUUUCAGAAUUUGGCACAUACCUUUCACACCUCGAUACAUAAUCUGAAACUCAUGCAUUAUCUCAAAUUUUUGAAGUUUCAUCCUUAAUGAAAUAUAAAAGAAAGGGGGAGCAAUUCAAAAAGUCAAAUUGGAAAAUAUUUGGAUGAAAUAGGGGGAGACUUCACUCUCAUAUUUGAAAAGCUGAAAUUCAGCAACUUGAGUCCUUUUAAAACUGAUUUUAAGAUAAGUAUCAAUAGGCUCAUACUCUAUAUUUUGUAAUCAUCAAAAAGGGGGAGAUUGAGGAUGAUAGUGUUAUUUUGAUGAUUAAC